GGGUUGUGAGGUUAAGCGACUAAGCGUACACGGUGGAUGCCCUGGCAGUCAGAGGCGAUGAAGGGCGUGCUAAUCUGCGAUAAGCGCCGGUAAGGUGAUAUGAACCGUUAUAACCGGCGAUACCCGAAUGGGGAAACCCAGUGUGACUCGUCACACUAUCAUUAACUGAAUCCAUAGGUUAAUGAGGCGAACCGGGGGAACUGAAACAUCUAAGUACCCCGAGGAAAAGAAAUCAACCGAGAUUCCCCCAGUAGCGGCGAGCGAACGGGGAGGAGCCCAGAGCCUGAAUCAGCAUGUGUGUUAGUGGAAGCGUCUGGAAAGGCGCGCGAUACAGGGUGACAGCCCCGUACACAAAAGCGCAUGUGCUGUGAGCUCGAUGAGUAGGGCGGGACACGUGGUAUCCUGUCUGAAUAUGGGGGGACCAUCCUCCAAGGCUAAAUACUCCUGACUGACCGAUAGUGAACCAGUACCGUGAGGGAAAGGCGAAAAGAACCCCGGCGAGGGGAGUGAAAAAGAACCUGAAACCGUGUACGUACAAGCAGUGGGAGCCCCACCACCAAAGCAUUCUCUGGUGUUGAAGGCCCUGCAAAGCAGCAUCGCGGUGGCGGAGCGUCGUUUGCGACGCCCAACACACAAAACAAGCGGUGAGUGCUUUGGGGUGGGGUGACUGCGUACCUUUUGUAUAAUGGGUCAGCGACUUAUAUUCUGUAGCAAGGUUAACCGUAUAGGGGAGCCGUAGGGAAACCGAGUCUUAAC
Molecule: ribosomal RNA, 756 nt
Filed under: Salmonella enterica
Lineage: Bacteria; Pseudomonadati; Pseudomonadota; Gammaproteobacteria; Enterobacterales; Enterobacteriaceae
Description: partial 23S ribosomal RNA
Rfam family: Bacterial large subunit ribosomal RNA
Source: RNAcentral